Molecule: ribosomal RNA, 237 nt
Filed under: uncultured bacterium
Lineage: Bacteria
Description: partial 16S ribosomal RNA
Rfam family: Bacterial small subunit ribosomal RNA
Source: RNAcentral
GUUGCUCGGAAUCAUUGGGCGUAAAGCGCACGUAGGCGGCGAGGAAAGUUGGGUGUGAAAGCCCUGGGCUCAACCCAGGAAGUGCAUUCAAAACUACCUUGCUUGAAUCUCGGAGGGGGUCAGAGAAUUCCCGGUGUAGAGGUGAAAUUCGUAGAUAUCGGGAGGAAUACCAGUGGCGAAGGCGCUGACCUGGACGAAGAUUGACGCUGAGGUGCGAAAGCGUGGGGAGCAAACAGG